RNAcentral lists this unclassified non-coding RNA (240 nucleotides) under Hevea brasiliensis (rubber tree). The record is from RNAcentral. Lineage: Eukaryota; Viridiplantae; Streptophyta; Magnoliopsida; Malpighiales; Euphorbiaceae.
ACAUCUCUCAAAAUGUUGAAUCUGUCUAUAAAUCAAUUAUAUGGUGAGAUCCCAAAUAACUUAUCCAAACUAGAGACCCUAGACCUAUCACACAAUAACCUAUCAGGUGAGAUCCCAGAGCUACCAUUGAAUCAAUCCCAGAUUCAGUCACUGAACUUGUCCCACAAUCAAUUAACAGGCUCUAUCCCAAAAUCUUUUUUGAAUUUGUCAAAAAUAGAGAGCCUGGACCUCUCUUAUAAC